CCACACGGUACUAGGGCCAGCCACCCACGAACCCACUUCCAGGUGGCACUAAUUCUCCUCUAGGGACAUUCACACAGUCCUUCUGAGAGUCGGAACCCGUGGCAAACCUUAAUGCUUCCCGACGUUGAAGCCCACGGUCGAUGCGGCUCUUCCUAAUACCAAAACUUGUAGCUGAUCCCAUCUCCUAUCGGUGCCGACAC
This 200-nucleotide long non-coding RNA is filed under the name Elaeis guineensis (African oil palm). RNAcentral describes it as "long non-coding RNA (EGUI_LNC032417)". Lineage: Eukaryota; Viridiplantae; Streptophyta; Magnoliopsida; Arecales; Arecaceae. The record is from RNAcentral.